GUAGGUGGCAAGCGUUGUCCGGAAUUAUUGGGCGUAAAGCGCGCGCAGGCGGUUCUUUAAGUCUGAUGUGAAAGCCCACGGGCUCAACCGUGGAGGGUCAUUGGAAACUGGAGAACUUGAGUACAGAAGAGGAAAGCGGAAUUCCACGUGUAGCGGUGAAAUGCGUAGAGAUGUGGAGGAACACCAGUGGCGAAGGCGGCUUUCUGGUCUGUAACUGACGCUGAGGCGCGAAAGCGUGGGGAGCAAACAGGAUUAGAUACCCUGGUAGUCCACGCCGUAAACGAUGAGUGCUAAGUGUUAGGGGGUUUCCGCCCCUUAGUGCUGCAGCUAACGCAUUAGGCACUCCGCCUGGGGAGUACGGCCGCAAGGCUG
Molecule: ribosomal RNA, 372 nt
Filed under: uncultured organism
Description: partial 16S ribosomal RNA
Rfam family: Bacterial small subunit ribosomal RNA
Source: RNAcentral